AUUGAACGUUGGCGGCAGGCCUAACACAUGCAAGUCGAGCGCGCGGCGGACGGGUGAGUAAUGCCUAGGAAUCUGCCUGGUCGUGGGGGAUAACUACUGGAAACGGUAGCUAAUACCGCAUACCAUCGGAUGUGCCCAGAUGGGAUUAGCUAGUAGGUGGGGUAACGGCUCACCUAGGCGACGAUCCCUAGCUGGUCUGAGAGGAUGACCAGCCACACUGGAACUGAGACACGGUCCAGACUCCUACGGUAGGCAGCAGUGGGGAAUAUUGCACAAUGGGCGCAAGCCUGAUGCAGCCAUGCCGCGUGUAUGAAGAAGGCCUGCGGGUUGUAAAGUACUUUCAGCGGGGAGGCGUUACCCGCAGAAGAAGCACCGGCUAACUCCGUGCCAGCAGCCGCGGUAAUAC
Molecule: ribosomal RNA, 406 nt
Filed under: uncultured bacterium
Lineage: Bacteria
Description: partial 16S ribosomal RNA
Rfam family: Bacterial small subunit ribosomal RNA
Source: RNAcentral